Passer domesticus (house sparrow) is the source of this 415-nucleotide long non-coding RNA. RefSeq lists it as uncharacterized. The record is from RefSeq and is a predicted model, not a curated record. Lineage: Eukaryota; Metazoa; Chordata; Aves; Passeriformes; Passeridae. The transcript is spliced from 5 exons.
UCCCUUCUAGCCUGGAAUCGUGACAUGGGUUUUCAGGAAGUCCUCAUGAAGCAUGGUUUGAAGUUCCUGGAGGAUGCUGGAGCUGAACCUGCUGGUGAAGGCACCACAUCCAGGACUGAGCCUCUGGGAGAUGCUGAGGGUGUGUCUGCAGGGAGGAGAUUCAUACGUCCUUUGGUAGUUAUUGCUGACAAGACCAGCUCCCAUAGCAGGGGUUCUCCGAUAGGGAAGAUCCAAAACACAAGAGACAAGAUAUCCCUGGAACCAUCCAAACAGACGAGGCAAGUGCUGAAGAAAAUGCUGCAGGGAGGACAAGAAAUGAAAGGAGAGCCUGUGGAGAAAGAAGCAUUUCCCGGAGGAAGCAGUGGUUCCGUGCCAGCCUCAGCUCCAGGAAGGGAGGCCAUGCCAGGCACAGGCA